Molecule: long non-coding RNA, 2736 nt
Organism: Acinonyx jubatus (cheetah)
Lineage: Eukaryota; Metazoa; Chordata; Mammalia; Carnivora; Felidae
Exons: 3
Source: RefSeq, a predicted model, not a curated record
GAUGUGGCAGGGCCUCAGCAGAUAUCAGAGGCAGCUUGAAAGUGAGUGGCACAGAAAGCCUGCUCAGGUCUGGUUCCAGAUUUCCCCUCAGGCCGGCCCAGGCUCCAUCGAGGCUUAAUUCUGCUUCAGGACCUCAUUGAUCCAGGGCCGGUAGUGGGAGAUCCGGGUGAAGACAGCAGGGGGCUUUGCAUUCUUCCGUCCAUAGGAGAUGAUGCCCUGAGCCACCCCAGCACACAGAAGAGGGCCCCCUGAAUCUCCCUGUGGGGCAGAGAGAGAGAGCGAGAGAGAGAGAGAGAGAGAACACAGAAGGUGAGCUGGGAAGUCAUCUACUCCCAGUGAGACCUGGGGUCAGACCCAGCAGCCCUGGUUCCUCAUGGGGUUAUACAUUUUGGUGUGAUGCCCCUUUUCUGUUUCCUUCUGGCCACCUCAUGUGCCCUGUGCAGCAGCCUGGGAGGGGUGCCCAGAGAUUGCAUGGGGCCGUGGGUGGGGGAGGAGCAGGGAAUGGAUCUGCAGAGGGGUGAUUCCAGUUCCUUAGGCCCAUGAUCUGAAAGCCUGUCGCUGGCUGACAACCUUCCCACCCCAUCUCCUUUCACAAGACGUCUGGACCCCGAACAGUGACUUGUAGAAAAGAACCCUCGUCCGAGGAUCACCUCAAAUGCAGAUUUUGUCUUCCUGGGAUUGCCAACACACAAUUGGAAGUUGUGGUCGAAAGUUCUGUAGUGUCUGCAGGCUUGGGGAUUCAUGAGCCUCUGCUUCACCUCUCGCAGAGUAUCAGAGCCUGGUUCAUUCACUUGUGUUCUUCCCCAGCCAGCCACCCGGCACAUUCUCCCGGGUGGGAUGACGUUGAACUGGGGCGGAAGGGGGAGCGUCCCCACGGCCAGGGUCAGGUUAGCUUUCUCCUUCAACUGUGGAGGGCAUGAGGGGCUGUCAGUGCUAGAAAUGGGUGACAGGGCAGUUGGAGGAAAUCAGGGAAGGACAGGGCAAACUGUUUUGCAUUAGAACUACAUCCGGUGGCACGAGUCAGUGGGGUUGGAGUCCAGAGGCAGGUUGUGGACAUUUUAGGGCAAUGGAGACCUGAAGGAGAAAACUAAGAGAACAGAAAGUGGGAAAUGUGGAGAAAGAAGUUAUUACCUUCAGUAACAUGAUGUCAUGGAGAAAAGCACUGUCAUCAUAUUUUGGGUGAGGAAAUUGUUUUAUGACCUCAAGCUUCUGCCAUGUAUCUUCUUUCUUUUGUAUGUUAUGGGCUCCAAGUGUGACCAUUAUAGACCUAUUGUGAGGGAGAAGGAAGGACCAGGAGAAACUGUGAUGGUCUCAGGUUUCUCCUGCGAUGUUCCCAUUCUGAGAAAAGAGGACUAGAGUCUAUCACAGGGGUCACUGGACUCUAAUCACCCCUCUUUCUCUGGACCACUUGUAGCAUUUGGGGUGGGGGCUCAUAUUUUACUCAGGGAAUAGCUUUCUCAGGGAACAUGGACAAUUUCCAGGACCCUCAGGAAUUCCUGGAGACUGAGUAGGCCAUGGAGAACCCAGGGGACAGGAUUAGCACUUCCUAAUUUAGGGAGCCCUGUGUGAGGGCCAGAGAUAUCAGAGGAAAGGGGGAGUUGAGGUGGUGGGAUCCCUGGUGGACCCUGUUGUCUGCCUCCCCUGGAAAGAUGGCUCAAGUCCCUGAGAAUUAAAGGCCAGUGUUCUUGGAAAGGGCAUAGAGGAAGUGGCCUAGAAAACUGGGUGGGGUUGGGAGAGGGAAGCUACUUUUAGAGGAGGGACUUUUGGAUAGGGCCUCCUUUUCCUCUCUGUAGGGGAGCCGAGCUCACAGUGAUUGAAGAUCAGGGCAUCUCAUCAAUUAUGGGACCAAGUUCCAUAAGUUCAAGUCUUGCCUGUCCCAGCCCCAGGAGCCUCCCCUCAGACCGCCAAAGGGUACGUCCUUGGCUGCCACCCUAGCUGUUAAUCUCCAGAAGGGAGAUAAAUGGGACCCUGCUGUGUCACCUUCCUGCACAGUGAGCAGCCGUCAGCACAAAGUUCCGUCUUAUCAGGAAACCACCGCAAAAUAACAGUCUAUUCUGGAGAGUGACAAUUUCCAGGUGGGCCAUGUACGGGCGGGAGUGUGGCUUGCACUCUGUGCCCCCGAUGAUCUCUCCUGGAACAGAGAUCCCCAGGGCUUGAACACAGAGAAUGCAUAGGCUGAGCUAAAGUUGAGAGGGGCUUCUCUCUAAUCUCAUCCUCACUGUGUACUCUGCCUGUUGCCCCCUCAGGAGGCUCGGGUAUCUGGUGUCCCCACCCACAACCUCUCACAUAAAUUCUCACUCCUUCUUCCAGGGACAACAGCCAGUCUGGGCUCAGAUGCCAUUCAGGCAUUUUUCACCUCGGAUUUCCCCCACUGCCAUUGUGCCUGGGACCUCAACGCUCCUCUUCCACUGGGCAGGGCCAGUUCUCCAGGUCCUGGUCUCAACCUGCUCCAAACCUUGAGGGCAGUGUCAGAGAAUGGCCACAUUACGAGAACAGAGGCAAAUCUGGACCUGGAGAAGUCUUGUCCUUUGGCCCUGCACCAGUUGGACCCAAAAUCCGAGAGAGGGCUGAUGGUCUGGUGGAGGAGACAGAAACAGCAGUGAUCAGGAUCCAGUCUGGUAAGCGCCAUGGUAGAGUGAUACACAAGACGGUAAGAGAGCAUGACUAUUACCUACUAAAUCCAUACAGUAACCCAUUCAUCAUCACACCUUCUUUCUUAGGGAUUUUUAGCAUCUG